UACGGAGGAUGCGAGCGUUAUCCGGAUUUAUUGGGUUUAAAGGGUGCGUAGGCGGCUUUUUAAGUCAGCGGUGAAAUUUUGCAGCUUAACUGUAACAGUGCCGUUGAUACUGGGGAGCUAGGAUUUGGUUGCUGUGGGUGGAAUGUGUGGUGUAGCGGUGAAAUGCUUAGAGAUCACACAGAAUAUCGAUUGCGAAGGCAGCUCACAAAGCCAAGAUUGACGCUGAGGCUCGAAAGCGUGGGGAUCAAACAGGAUUA
This 257-nucleotide ribosomal RNA is filed under the name uncultured prokaryote. RNAcentral's name for it is "partial 16S ribosomal RNA". It matches the Rfam family "Bacterial small subunit ribosomal RNA", at positions 524 to 780 of the family's 1533-position model. The record is from RNAcentral.